Sus scrofa (pig) is the source of this 793-nucleotide non-coding RNA. The record is from RefSeq and is a predicted model, not a curated record. Lineage: Eukaryota; Metazoa; Chordata; Mammalia; Artiodactyla; Suidae.
CGCCGCCUCUAGCUCGCCGAGCUCCAGCCAAAGGAGAAGCGGGGUAAGUAAGGAGGUCUUUAUACCAUGGCUCGUACAAAGCAGACCGCCCACAAAUCGACUGGUGGUAAAGCACGGAGGAAGCAACUGGCUACAAAAGCCGCUCGCAAGGGUGCGCCCUCUACUGGAGGGGUGAAGAAACCUCAUCGUUACAGGCCUGGUACCGUGGCACUCCGUGAAAUUAGACGUUAUCAGAAGUCCACUGAACUUCUGAUUCGCAAGCUUCCCUUCCAGCGUCUUGGUGCGGGAAAUUGCUCAGGACUUCAAAACAGAUAUGCGCUUCCAGAGUGCAGCUAUUGGUGCUUUGCAGGAGGCAAGUGAGGCCUAUCUGGUUGGCCUUUUUGAAGACACCAACCUGUGUGCUAUCCAUGCCAAACAUGUAACAAUUAUGCCAAAAGACCUCCAGCUAGCACGCCGCAUACGUGGAGAACAUGCUUAAGAAUCCACUAUGAUGGGAAACAUUUCAUUCUUUAAAAAAAAAAAUUCUCUUCUUCCUGUUAUUGGUAGUUCUGAACGUUAGAUAUUUUUUUUCCAUGGGGUCAAAAGGUAUCUAAGUAUAUGAUUACAAGUGGAAAAAUAGGGGACAAAUCAGGUAUUGGCAGUUUUUCCAUUUUCAUUUGUGUGUGAAUUUUUAAUAUAAAUGCGGGGACAUAAAGCAUUAAUGCAAGUCAAAAUGUUUCAGUGAACAAGUUUCAGCAGUUCAACUUUAUAACAAUUAUAAAUAAACCUGUUAAAUUUUUCUGGAAAAAAAAAA